GGCUUUAUGAAUAUAAUAUAAAGUCUGGCCUGCCCACUGAAGUUUUUAAAGGGCCGCGGUAUUUUGACCGUGCGAAGGUAGCAUAAUCAAUAGUCUUUUAAUUGAAGGCUUGAAUGAAUGGUCGGACAAGAUACAAGCUGUCUUAAAUUUAAAUUUUGAAUUUUACUUUUAAGUGAAAAGGCUUAAAUAAUUUAAAGUGACGAUAAGACCCUAUAAAGCUUUAUAUUAGUAAAUUUAAUUUUAUAUUUAAGGUUUAAAUUUAAUUUUAUUUAUAAUAUUGUAUUGGGGCGAUAUAAAUUUAAUAUUUAACAGUUGUUAAUUGUAAAUAGAUAAUAUCUAGAAAAGGAGAUCCUUUAUAAAGAUUUUAAGAAAAAGUUACUUUAGGGAUAACAGCGUGAUUUUUUCAGAGAGUUCAUAUCGAUGAAAGUAGUUGCGACCUCGAUGUUGAAUUAAGAUUUCUUUAGGGUGUAGUCUUUCUAAAUGUAGGUCUGUUCGACCUUUAAAAUCUUACAUGAUUUGAGUUCAAACCGGCGUGAG
RNAcentral lists this ribosomal RNA (537 nucleotides) under Leptochela soelae. RNAcentral describes it as "partial 16S ribosomal RNA". It matches the Rfam family "Bacterial large subunit ribosomal RNA", at positions 1819 to 2625 of the family's 2925-position model. Lineage: Eukaryota; Metazoa; Arthropoda; Malacostraca; Decapoda; Pasiphaeidae. The record is from RNAcentral.